CAUAAAUGAAAACCAUCUACAGUAUUCUUGCUACUAUUCACUCGCAUUAAGGAGUACUGUAGCUAAUUGUGUAAUCAUAGAUGUACAAUGUAACUAUAUGUUGACAUAGAAUCAAUACCAUACAGCAUGUUUCAUCGAUAGUAUCAUAUGUAAUAAUGUCAUAUUUUAUUGUUUAUUUAUAGUGCCUUAUCUUCCGUUCUUUCGAAAUAAACAAUAAUAAACUGUAAAUAAUUUAUACAAGGUAUGUCAACAACAUGAUAUAUGGCUGUGAAAUAAUUAUGUAUCUUCUAAAUCUAGUUUUGUUUUGUUCCGGUGUUGAAUCACAGUUAAGAAUUAUAUCUUCCAAUGAUAAAUAUGCGAUUAACAUAUUAGUUCAGCAAUGAUGCUUAAAAGACCACAGAAUUAUUUUCCCGUGUAGCUGUUGUUGAUUUCGUUGGACAAAACUAGUUCGGUGGAAUCAAAAUGUUCCUUGUUCAGUUGUUUUGCUGAACUUUCUACUUACUUUUUGUACUUAAAAUCAUUGUUAUGAUUGCGAAAAAGUGUGGAAGAAGAGCUCCCUUAGUUCCAAAAUAACGUGAUAUUGGUAAAUUUCGGAUUCUCUUACAUGCAGCUUCCCGGAUGCCCAAAGAAAAAGCAAAGACAAGCUGGCUCAAUUUUACUUUGCUUAUAUUUUAUUUUCAAGGAGAUCAAAAUAUAUAUCUUAC
Molecule: long non-coding RNA, 704 nt
Organism: Armigeres subalbatus
Lineage: Eukaryota; Metazoa; Arthropoda; Insecta; Diptera; Culicidae
Exons: 3
Source: RefSeq, a predicted model, not a curated record